GAUGAACGCUGGCGGCGUGCUUAACACAUGCAAGUCGAACGGCAGCGCGCUGCUUUUCUGGGGGGCUCGAGGGGCAAACGGGAGAGUAACACGAGAGUGACCUGACCUUGACUUGGGGAUAAGUUCAGGAAACUGGGACUAAUACCGAAUAGGAGUAGCUGCUGCAGGGGGGGGGUUGGAAAGUUUAGGGGGUCGGGGAUGGGCUCGGGGCGUAUGAGCUAGUAGGUGGGGGAGUGGCUUACCAACUCUUGGGCGGGUAGGGGGCGUGAGAGGGUGACCGGCCACCUUGGGCCUGUGAUACGGCCCGGAGUCCUACGGGAUGCAGCAGUGGGGAAUAUUGUCCGAUGGGCCGAAGCCUGAUGCAGCAACGCCGCGUGCGGGAUGACGGCCUUCGUGUUGUGAACCGGAUUAGCCUGUGACGAAGCGUGAGUGACGGUAAUGUGUGAAGAAGCACCGGCUAACUACGUG
RNAcentral lists this ribosomal RNA (468 nucleotides) under uncultured bacterium. Its description in RNAcentral is "partial 16S ribosomal RNA". It matches the Rfam family "Bacterial small subunit ribosomal RNA", at positions 28 to 507 of the family's 1533-position model. The record is from RNAcentral.